This 406-nucleotide ribosomal RNA is filed under the name uncultured bacterium. Its description in RNAcentral is "partial 16S ribosomal RNA". It matches the Rfam family "Bacterial small subunit ribosomal RNA", at positions 28 to 526 of the family's 1533-position model. The record is from RNAcentral.
GACGAACGCUGGCGGCGUGCUUAACACAUGCAAGUCGAACGAGUGGCGCACGGGUGAGUAAUACGUGAGUAACCUGCCCUCUUUUUGGGAUAAGCCUUGGCAACGUGGUCUAAUCCCGGAUCAAGGGGGAUGGGCUCGCGGCCUAUCAGCGUGUUGGUGGGGUGAUGGCCUACCAAGGCGGUGACGGGUAGCCGGCCUGAGAGGGGGGCCUGCACCAGUGGGACGGAGAUACGGCCCAGACUCCUACGGGGGGCAGCAUUUGGGGAUAUGGCACAAUGGGCGAAAGCCGGAUGCAGCGACGCCGCGUGGGGGAUGAAGGCUGGCGGGUGGUAAACCUCGUUAGAUAGCGAACGGGUAGGUGGAGAAGAAGCGCCGGCUAACUACGUGCCAGCAGCCGCGGUAAUAC